Molecule: ribosomal RNA, 389 nt
Filed under: uncultured bacterium
Lineage: Bacteria
Description: bacterial SSU rRNA
Rfam family: Bacterial small subunit ribosomal RNA
Source: RNAcentral
GACGAACGCUGGCGGCGUGCUUAACACAUGCAAGUCGAGCGGUAGGGCCCUUUCGGGGGUACACGAGCGGCGAACGGGUGAGUAACACGUGGGUGACCUGCCCUCAGCUCUGGGAUAAGCCUGGGAAACUGGGUCUAAUACUGGAUAUGACUCCACGGUGCAUGUCGUGGGGUGGAAAGCCUUGUGCGGCUGAGGAUGGGCCCGCGGCCUAUCAGCUUGUUGGUGGGGUGANGGCCUACCAAGGCGACGACGGGUAGCCGGCCUGAGAGGGCGACCGGCCACACUGGGACUGAGACACGGCCCAGACUCCGUACGGGAGGCAGCAGUGGGGAAUCUUGCGCAAUGGGCGAAAGCCUGACGCAGCGACGCCGCGUGAGGGAUGACGGCCU